GGGGCCGACUGGUUUUGACAGCGAGACCAAUGGCAUUGUAAGCAUGUCGAGCGCUGGGAUACAGCUCGUUAAUCUCAUAUUUCACACUUUUUAAAUGGCGAAUCUAAUUACGCUCUUGCCGCUUAAU
RNAcentral lists this transfer-messenger RNA (127 nucleotides) under Flavobacteriaceae bacterium. RNAcentral describes it as "partial transfer-messenger RNA". It matches the Rfam family "transfer-messenger RNA", at positions 1 to 133 of the family's 374-position model. From Rfam's summary of the family: Bacterial tmRNA, also known as 10Sa RNA or SsrA, is named for its dual tRNA and mRNA-like properties. Lineage: Bacteria; Pseudomonadati; Bacteroidota; Flavobacteriia; Flavobacteriales; Flavobacteriaceae. RNAcentral also lists the same sequence under 2 other names. The record is from RNAcentral.